UAUUAUCUCAGUUGAGUCAAUACAUUAUAAUGUAUUAAAAUGGAAAGGUACAAAAUUGAAAUAAAUACUUUCUGAUUCAUGUAUAAAUCUUUUUUUUGUCAAGAUGACUUUUAUCGUUAGUACAUGUCACAAGAAAACAUUUAAAAUGACACCAAAACAAUCAUUGAAAUCAUGGUGCGUGGAGGAAAAAGGUAAAGAAAACAACCGUUGGCUUGUUUUGGCAUGAGAUCUUGAUGCAGUUUGGGUUCCCCAAAACCAUGUGAAGGGUGGUAAAAUAAAAAUGCUCAAAACUGGCUUAAAAAAAUAAACAGGCUUUACAAAAGAAAACUCUCUUUUUUUUCUUAACCCAGCCACUUCUCUACAUGGUCUGCACUUACAAUAGAUACAUUCAUUAUUGUCCAAGGGAAGACAGCAACUGCCGUUCAAUUAAAGAGCUUGGUGGACAGGCUGAAGAAAGAUGCUGCAGCUGAAGGGGAGUAGCGUGUUCCAGAGAACGAAAAAGUCUAGAUGGUCCUCACUGAGCAUGAGGGGUGGAGGGUCUCUGGGCGAGAGGUGGAGGGAGAGGAGAGGGAGAGUCCAGAUCUGAAGCAACGGAGACCAAAGAAGGGCAUCGGCUUGGCAGUGGUCACAAGGGGCCCGGGCAUCUCUCCUGCCUGAGCAGUCCUGGGCUUGUCCCCAGCCUGGGAACAUUGCUCUGUUCUGUCAGUGAGAGGUGAACCCUGGGCUUUGGAGCCAGGCCUUAGGCUCUUAUCAGGCACAGCAGCAAUGGGGAGACGGGGCGGGCCUCCCUCGGAUGAAUGCCACACACAGAGGGGCUUCUCAACAGUUCUGACUGCUUAUUAGGUGGUCAUUAAGGCAAUAAGGACUUUAGCAAACUAGAGGUUAAGGGCAGCUAAAUUCAGCCAGAUUGAACGUAAACAAAAGGUGAGAAGGGGUCUCUUUCUCCUCAGCUACCUGUCCCCCAAGUGCAAGGGGGCCUGGCCUCCUGAAGCUGAAUUUACAGUACACAGUAGCGGAGGGCUUGCCCUUUGGAAAGAAGGCUCCGUGGAAAGAAGGCUUGUCCCUGACUUGGGGCAACUUAACCAAGUUUCUACUCUCCACAUCUCUCUCCUGGGCUCACUCAGCUGGCGAGCAGAAGGCCAGGCACCAAGGUUCAUGGCAGAAGUCAGGUCAAGACCCCUGCUAGCAACCACCUGGCCCAUCCCAGUGACCUGGAACACCAUGGGGCCUGCAAAGCCCGGCCUGGUGAUUGCACACCCCAUGAGGCCUAUGCUCAGCUGGAGAAGAGGACAAGCAUUUCAGGGUUCUGGAAUGGUCCCUCAAAGCAGAUGGAAAGAUAGCAACACAGCCAUGGGGAUGUGGAGUCCUGGGUGGCCUCUGAGGGGAUGAAAGAAGCUCCUUUGACUUGGAUCCACUCACAAAGUUGCAGAAGACAGAAGAGUGCAGAGGGGAGAGCCUUCUCCUUCCUUUGUGCUCUGGAGGAAGGACACAGAGUCACCUUGGAAUAAAGCUGAGGAGACAGGAAGCUCAGAGCUGCCUGCUGUUUGGGGUCAACUUCAGGCAAGAAGCUGGGUGAGCUGGCAGCUGCAAGGUCCUGGCGCUGAUGAAGAGGCUCUCAGAUGAUUGCUGCCAAAGAGCCACCUACCUACUCCUGCCGGUGCAGCACCCGUGAGCUUGGGAAGGCAGACAGGAGCCCUUCUAUCCUCCAGACUGAGAUGGCAGGCUGGGGAGUGCUCUCCAAGAGAUGCCUUGGGCCUGCGGCUGCAGUAGCAUGGAGACCCUGUGCCCUAGUUACUCAGGACGCCCUGAGCGUGGGACAUCCCUGAGGACGAGAUGUGCACUAGGAGAAAAGUCAGUCGUAAUGACCAGUCAUCUGUGCACCAGUUCCCUGCCUGACUUUUCUCUGGUGCAAGCUAUCUUAUUUUGUGGGCAAUAUAUUAUGCAGGACUCUAAGAACUAUAAUAAUAAAGAAAAUGUGAUCAUCAAGCUGUGGGGAUGUGAACAAAACAGGAUCGGCCAUGAGACAGUAAUCACUGUUGAAGUGGAUUGAUAGACCCAUGGGACUUCCUUGGGCAAUUCUACUGUAAUACGUGUUCAAAUAUUGUCUAAUGUAUCCACAAUACAAAACAAGUCUUCUUGGAGGUUAUGUAGCUUAAUUCCCCAUUUUACAGACGGAAUUCGGUGGGCAAGGGCCCAAAGUCACACAGAUUUCCUGCAGAGACAGUAGUACAAGAAACCAGUCAUCUUUUGGCAGGGAUUGGGAUAUUUUGGCUGGAUUCACAUUUGUCACUCAAUGUCAUGCUCUGCUCUUACCACUUUCAGAAGCAGGCUGUGAUCUUUAGAACUGCUGCCAACCAGCCUUGGGAACAUGAUGCUGAUGGCAAGCUUCCUUUCUUGCUUUGCUCAGCUUACAGACACCCAUCUGGGGAGCUCAGUGGAGCCAGCACCUUGGGCCUGGGUGUUACUGUGAGCAGCAAACAUGACCCUACGGACUCGAGGUUUAGAAAGCCAGUUGGAACAGACAAAAACUGAAAACCUGCUAUGAUGGCAAUGCCAGCUGUGUAGAAAGAGCGCACAGAGGCCGACCGCAGUGUGCACCCGUUAGGCGCCAUUCAGCAGGUGUGGAUGAGAGGAAUGGAUUAGGACAGUGGGGUCCUGAAACAGCAUAGGUCCAAAUUCUAACAUGUUCUCUAAUUUUAGAAAGAGAGAUCAUAAUUAUAAUCAUUAUUAUUCAUAUCAAGCAAAUUAGCUUUAGGACCUAUGGCCCUGACUUGGAGGUCAUGACGGUAGUUUCUUUUCUGGUUAAUUGGCCAAUUCCCCUCUCUAGUAGAGCCACCAGGGGGCACUCUGUAGCCAAGACAUUUUGAGAGGCAAAACCAUCUCCCCCUACCAGUGAUGGUGAACCUUUUCGAGCUUUCAAAGAUAACAAAGAGCCUGCUGCAGCUGUGCUUGGGUUCACCAUCACUGCACCCCAUCCCUCAUCUGAGGGGAUCAAAGCAAUUACCGUACUGGCCCACCCCUUUUCAGGGGAAACACCACCAAGCAAGGACACUAAAGGUCCUUCCCGAGCCCUGCCUGUGGCUCAGGCUUUUUGUCAGCCCAGUUGGGGGCCUGGUAAGGGUGGGGAGUUUUGCAUUUUGAGAGGAGGGAGAGAGCCGAAGAGCUGGAUGGCAUCCUUUGAAGGAGUAAAGCCCUUUAAAAAGUUUGAUGUCUUUCCUGUACUUUAAUUGGAAUAAAAGACAGCUCUCCUCUUAAGAAGAAAAAGGCUCCUCAGAACUGGAGUCUAGGGAAAGGGAGGCAGGACUCAUAGGCCCUUCUCCGGGAUGUGACACAGUAAGAAUCGAGGGGGGCCUUGAGAGCAAAUCACAGACUCUGAUCCAAAAACUCAAAGGAACAUACACAUUCUAGAUGAGAUCUUUGUGAGCUGGAGGAGGGGGAGAGGAUACAAACCCCAGAGUCCUUCCAAAGGGAAACAGGCCAGAAGCCGGAGCUUCCAAGUUCCGUGAGGGAGGAAUGGUGGCCAGGAACCCUGCCAGCACUUUUAGGAAGAUGAUACUCAAAGAAAUUCCCAGCUCUGCCAUUUUGUGUGAGGAAAAUAUGCUUUGGCUGCUGGUGGUUCAGUGGAGAUAAAAGUUAACAGAGGGAGGCACAUAAAAAACAAAACCAAAGGAAUUUGUAGUAAGCAUUAUGAAGAUUUGCCUGGAUUAAAUAGUUGUGAGUUGGCUAAAACAGAUUACUAAGAGGGACUGGGAAUAUUCUCUUGGGGUGGCCAGAGGCCUCAAGAGUGAAGAUAUCCAAGAAGGGAGGGAUGAAGAGAACAAGGGAAGGAGAAAUGGCCGGGAGAGGGUGGGAAGAUGGAUGGAUGGUCAAACCGCUUUGUGAUUAUUUAGAAAAAUCUGUCUCAGCAGGAGACUUAGGAAGGCCAGGUUAUAGAUUUAGAUUCUCCCAUUUCUUAUUGUUGUCCCUCUCUUCCUUAUUCCUCAGAAAUCCAGGUAAACGCGACGUCAGCUCAUUCGUCAUCCCAAAUGCUAGUCUUCUUAGCUUGGCUUACACAGGGCCAGGAUGGGACAACAGGGAGCGUGCGUGUGUGUUCACACUGAUUAUGAUCACCGGGAAAAUGAACUCUUUUCCUUCCCAGGGAUUUAUAUCAAGCCUGGUGGUUGGGAAAAUAUCAUCCGAAUUUCCCAAAUUAAAAUGAAGGCUCUGAGCCAGUGUUUACCAAAUAGCAGAGGGACCCAGUCUGAGACUUGGGAGGCAGUUUCUGAUGAAGUCCUGUUCUAGCUAUGUCUCUCUGGCACAUCCCUUCCCUCUCUGGGCUCCAUGCUCCCCCAUGUGAAUGGACGAGGCUGGGCACAUGAGAUGCUGUCGCUCUGGAAUAGGCAUGAAUGGGUGGGAGCUGGAUUCUGGGAUCCUGAAGAUCUCUAGAGCCUCAAAUGCAGAGAGGUGAUCCUGCUCCUGGCAAGGGGCGAGCAAACUUUCCAGAAGGUUCCAGUGUCAGCGCAUUGCUUCUCCAGGAGGAGAGAAGCCUGCCUGCCAUGUCUCUGUGGAACUACGCAGCUUUGCAGUCAAGCUUGAAUCUGAGGAAAAGUAGGAAAUGCUUUCGAACUGAAUGAAAGUUCAGUGUAUUUUGAAAGACAUCUGACCGCAAUAAUGGGCAAUAAUAUGACCAACCUUCAUAGCUGCAUACAUCACUGAGAUGUGCAAUGCCCACAAGAAAGAGGGUGCUUGUGAAGCCUUUGAGCUCUGAGCUCUUGACUUUGAGGAGGGAGAAACGUGGAACAUCCAAGCGCUGGUCCACUUGGUUGGCCAUAGGAUGGACAGUUCACUACAAAGCCAUUAAGCCCAAGAGCCUGAAAAGACUGGCUGUAGCCACAGCCUGAGGAGGAGGGAGUACCCCAUCUGCAGAGGGGUGCACUGUUCAGUCAGACCAGUGUCUGAGAAAGUCGGCCCUGGAAAUAUCUACCUGGAUGCUUCUAACACCAACUGUGCAUGUUGGUUCCUAGACAUGGGGGGAGAGAGGAGGUGUCUAUUGAAAUUUGGGGUGGGAAAAUACAGAAUAGCAUACUCUUAGCAUUCCCAUGGGAAAAACAAGUCCAUAGGUUCUGAGGAAAGACAGGAUCUGGGACAGGGACUCAACUCCUUUGACCAGAGAUAUUGCCUAAAAAUUCUGUCUCCUUCCAAGUUGUGCAGGAGCUCCCCGGGGAUAAGAGGACUGUGGGUCCCAGGCUCAUCUUGAACUAGGACAGGACCUGGCCUUUGAGACAUGUCUUUCCCCUGAGCACAUCCGACGUCCAAAGGAGCAGAGGGGAUCCUGCAAGCUUUGUCCCCAACCACAGGGCGAUUCAGUCUCUUAGGUAGUUAAGGAUCCACCUUUUGCUUUAAGUGUACUAAAGACCCAAGAAAAUGUAGUUGCUUCUCCCUGCUCCCCACACUGCCCUUUCUAACCCUACCGAUGAGGAAACAGAGGCACAACGAAGUCACCAAGUUUUCUGCAGUCUUGCACGGAUCUGGCCACACUCUGGCAAGAAAGCCUACAAGGGAUGUAUACGUCCCUUUCUGAAUCCUUCCAUAUCUUCCCUUGCCUUUCUGCUUAAUUCACAUUUAAAGUCUGUCUGCUGUCUAUCUGUCUAUAAUAUAGCAUAUGUACUAUUAUAUAUAAAAUAUAAAUAACUCUUAGUUUCCUGCUUACCUUCCUGUCCUUUUCUUCUUCUUUAUAUAACUAGGACUUGAAAAAAAACCCAAACAAAACAAAACAAGAAAAGAGCUGUUCCGAGACAAGGGAGAGCCACAGGACUGCUCGAAGGAUGACCUCCAGAAGGAGAUGGCAGCCCUUGUCCACAGGCCUGCGUGCUUCACAUCUGGGCUGCUCAGCAAUUGGGUGGAAUACAGUUCAACAGAAAUCAGCAAUGGAGACACCUGUGCCAGAUGAAGUGAACUUCCACAACCUGGUUUUAAGGAACAGUAAAUACAAUAGAGACAGAUAGAUACACUAUGUUGAGUCUUCAAUACUAAAGCAAGUUAUAAAUAGAAUUAUGCUAAAUUAAAGAAGACAAACAUCAUUGGGAAUAGUCUGGUC
This is a long non-coding RNA of Heterocephalus glaber (naked mole-rat), 6076 nucleotides long. The record is from Ensembl. Lineage: Eukaryota; Metazoa; Chordata; Mammalia; Rodentia; Bathyergidae.